GAAAUGUUGGUCUUCACUAAAGGUGUGACUUAAUUCAAUCCUGGCUUCGAGGACCCUGGGAGCAGGAAAAAACAUCUGAGUUCAUCAAGACUCUUAGCCCUGCUAGGAGUCAAGGGAAUGCUCCAUAACUCAGUCAAUAUGCCCGGAGAGCUUGGGGAAGCAUUUAGAGAAAGGACACCCAGGCAAGGAUGACCAACAGGAUGUAAAGUUCAGAUGUUUUACCAGGGCUCUGAGGCCUUUGGGGCUGUAGGAAGCCUCCUGACUUCUUCAGAGCCCCCUACAUAUUCCAAGUUCCCAGUAUUUAAAUGAGUCUUGCAUCUUGGUCGGGGAAGCAAGCUUUUGCUAGGUAGCCAGGCAAUGCUCUACACACCAUCAAACUAUACUGCUAGUCCCAGCCUUAGUACAUGGUGGAAGAUCAUACCUUCCACAUGAAUCUGGGAGAUGAAGGGCUGGAGAAAUGUCAGGCUUUGGGUCCUCUGGCAAUCUCAAGUUGACACAACCAGCCUCCUGAAUCCAAGAGCCUUUUGGAGCCUUUGGGAAGCUCACCACUACCCAGUCAGGGAAGGGAUGAAGGAAUGGGCCUUUGGAAGGCAAAGAUCCAGGAUCUGGCUGGCUAGUCAUGGGUUCUGCCUCUUUGUGUGUGACAAUCGAAGCUCCAACUGAUGAGCUAUGGGCUUUGCUGGGUGCUAUUGGCCACUGCACUAGUAAUUAACAUGGUGGCUGCCUUCAGGUGUCUUCAGACCAAGAGAGGAGAGACAGGAAGCAAUGGAGCUGAGCCUGAGACUAACCCUGACAAGCUGUCUGGAUGUUCUACAGGAGAGGUUUAUUGACGUGAACCUGGCUUAUGCAAUGCUGGGGAUGGAAACCAGGGCUUCAUGAAUCUCAAGCCCUUGAAAAUACCUUUGAAAAAAAUAAAUCCUAUCAUAACUGGCAGUGGUGGCCUGUGGGAAGAGGACCUGAGGACAUCAAAUAGAUGCAAAUGAAGUUCUGCAGGUAGUUAUAUGCCUUUGUACUCCACACGGUCUGCCUUCUAAAACAAAUGUACUAUGUAUGCAAAAAUAAACAGACUACACAUAACCCUUCAACUCAACUGUUCAGUUUUCUAGCUCACAGAAAUACAUAAAUACACAAAGAUAGUACAAGAAUGACCUUAUGUCCAAAUGGGAAAAUUCUGGAAGCAUUUUAUGUGCUUAUCACUAAGUAACUGUUUAAAUAAAUGGCAAUACAUCCCUCCUGUAGAACACCACCCAUCCAGUAUGAAGUGAGCCUGUAACAUAGCAGGAGGGACUUGAGUUCAAGACCAAAAUGGGCUGCAUAUCAAGAUCUUGUCUCAAACAAAAACAAAUGAUACUGAGUGAUCAAAGACUAGAGGGCGCCUCUAAUGUCUCACCUGCAAAGACUACAAAGACAAAUGUAAGAAAAAGAGCAAAUUAUAAACCAUAUAAAAAGUGC
RNAcentral lists this long non-coding RNA (1452 nucleotides) under Cricetulus griseus (Chinese hamster). Its description in RNAcentral is "lncRNA (ENSCGRG00015037640.1)". The record is from RNAcentral. Lineage: Eukaryota; Metazoa; Chordata; Mammalia; Rodentia; Cricetidae.